RNAcentral lists this ribosomal RNA (450 nucleotides) under uncultured bacterium. Its description in RNAcentral is "partial 16S ribosomal RNA". It matches the Rfam family "Bacterial small subunit ribosomal RNA", at positions 338 to 795 of the family's 1533-position model. The record is from RNAcentral.
CCUACGGGGGGCUGCAGUGAGGAAUAUUGCGCAAUGGGGGAAACCCUGACGCAGCAACGCCGCGUGAGUGAGGAAGGUUUUCGGACCGUAAAGCUCUGUCGAGCGGGAAGAAGUGCAUGGUGGCUAAUAUCCAUUAUGCUUGACGGUACCGCUAAAGGAAGCACCGGCUAACUCCGUGCCAGCAGCCGCGGUAAUACGGGGGGUGCUAGCGGGGGUCGAAAUCGUGUGGCGUAAUGGGCAUGUCGGCGGUGAAAGCCCUGGGCUUAACCUAGGAAGUGCAUUUGAAACUGUUCAGCUUGAGUAAGGGAGAGGAAAGUGGAAUUCCUGGUGUAGAGGUGAAAUUCGUAGAUAUCAGGAGGAACACCGGUGGCGAAGGCGACUUUCUGGCCCUAUACUGACGCUGAGACGCGAGAGCGUGGGUAGCAAACAGGAUUAGAUACCCCAGUAGUC